This 502-nucleotide ribosomal RNA is filed under the name Conderis rufohumeralis. RNAcentral describes it as "partial large subunit ribosomal RNA". The stretch from base 381 to 502 matches the Rfam family "Archaeal large subunit ribosomal RNA", at positions 2542 to 2664 of the family's 2987-position model. Lineage: Eukaryota; Metazoa; Arthropoda; Insecta; Coleoptera; Lycidae. The record is from RNAcentral.
CAUGUCCUUUUGAAUUAUAAUUUAAGGUCUGAUCUGCUCAAUGAUUAAUUAAAUUGCCGCAGUAUUUUGACUGUGCAAAGGUAGCAUAAUAAUUAGCUUUUUAAUUGUAAGCUGGAAUGAAGGAUUGGACGAGAAAAUUACUGUCUCUUUUUAAUUUUUAUUGAAUUUUAUUUUUAAGUUAAAAAGCUUAAAUUUUUAUAAAAGACGAGAAGACCCUAUAGAGUUUAAUAUUUUUAUUUUAUUUGUUUUUAGAAAUUUAUUUAAAGUUAUUUAUAUUUAGUUGGGGUGAUUGGGAGAUAGAAUAAAUUCUCUUAUAUUUUAAUUGAUAAUUAUUAAAUUUUUAAUUUAAUUUUUUUAAGUUUAAAAUAAAUUACCUUAGGGAUAACAGCGUUAUUUUUCUUUAAAGUUCUUAUUGAAAGAAAAUUUUGCGACCUCGAUGUUGGAUUAAAAUAAAUUUUUGGUGCAGUAACUAAAUAAUUAGGUCUGUUCGACCUUUAAUAUU